Molecule: ribosomal RNA, 414 nt
Filed under: uncultured Methanomicrobiales archaeon
Lineage: Archaea; Methanobacteriati; Methanobacteriota; Methanomicrobia; Methanomicrobiales
Description: bacterial SSU rRNA
Rfam family: Archaeal small subunit ribosomal RNA
Source: RNAcentral
CUCACCAGAUAAGACAGCUGAAUGAUAGUCGGGCUGAAGACUCUACUUGACUAGCUGAGAGGAGGUGCAUGGCCGUCGUCAGUUCGUACUGUGAAGCAUCCUGUUUAAGUCAGGCAACGAGCGAGACCCACGCCAACAGUUGCCAGCUCGUCCUCCGGGAUGGUGGGGACACUGUUGGGACCGCCUCUGCUAAAGAGGAGGAAGGAAUGGGCAACGGUAGGUCAGCAUGCCCCGAAUUAUCUGGGCUACACGCGGGCUACAAUGGGUGGGACAAUGGGUAUCGACACCGAAAGGUGAAGGCAAUCUCCUAAACCCAUCCGUAGUUCGGAUUGUGGGCUGCAACUCGCCCACAUGAAGCUGGAAUCUGUAGUAAUCGUGUCUCAAAAUGGCACGGUGAAUAUGUCCCUGCUCCUU